Molecule: microRNA precursor, 116 nt
Filed under: Populus trichocarpa (black cottonwood)
Lineage: Eukaryota; Viridiplantae; Streptophyta; Magnoliopsida; Malpighiales; Salicaceae
Description: miR1447 stem-loop (ptc-MIR1447)
Source: miRBase by way of RNAcentral
GAGGCCCUAAUCAGGGCACUGCAAUUCUAAAUGUCUGUUGGCAAGUGGCGAUGCCAGACGUUUGAAAUUUACUUAUCAUUUAUUAGUCAGAAUUGCAGUGCCUUGAUUUGGGCUUU